AUUAAACGCUGGCGGCAUGCCUUACACAUGCAAGUCGAACGGCAGCACGGGGGCAACCCUGGUGGCGAGUGGCGAACGGGUGAGUAAAGCAUCGGAACGUGCCCUGGAGUGGGGGAUAACGUAGCGAAAGUUACGCUAAUACCGCAUAUUCUGUGAGCAGGAAAGCAGGGGAUCGCAAGGCCUUGCGCUCUGGGAGCGGCCGAUGUCGGAUUAGCUAGUUGGUGGGGUAAAGGCCUACCAAGGCGACGAUCCGUAGCGGGUCUGAGAGGAUGAUCCGCCACACUGGGACUGAGACACGGCCCAGACUCCUACGGGAGGCAGCAGUGGGGAAUUUUGGACAAUGGGCGAAAGCCUGAUCCAGCCAUGCCGCGUGAGUGAAGAAGGCCUCGG
Molecule: ribosomal RNA, 390 nt
Filed under: uncultured bacterium
Lineage: Bacteria
Description: bacterial SSU rRNA
Rfam family: Bacterial small subunit ribosomal RNA
Source: RNAcentral